This 451-nucleotide long non-coding RNA is filed under the name Struthio camelus australis. RNAcentral describes it as "lncRNA (ENSSCUG00000011248.1)". Lineage: Eukaryota; Metazoa; Chordata; Aves; Struthioniformes; Struthionidae. The record is from RNAcentral.
CUUCCUUCAUGCUCAACAGGAGAGUCUUCUCAAACAUCUCAAGAUGGAAGGAACAUAAGCAGCUUCCCCAGUGGUAUAACCUGCUGUUGCCUCUUUUAUCAUUGCCUGUUAUUCUUUGUGGAAAUUGCGUGCAGUGAGUGCAUGAGAAGGACUAGAAUUGAAGAUCAGCAGUUUCUGCAUGUGUCAAGGAGGAGACACAUAUCCAGCCUUUUCUUACCUGCAACUACAGAUCUGAAGAAAGGCAUGAUAGCAGAUAAGGUGUGUUGACAGACAGAAUAGGCCCUAUGGCAAAUUGCCCAUCAGGAUUCUCCAGGUGUGCGCUUAGUGUAAAACAAGCACCUACUGAUGCCGAAGAGAUACUCAUGCCAACUUCUGUCCUUACAUCUGAAGCUGGAGAAUAUACGAUUUGUAUGGCCAGUUGCACUUGUUUGUUCUUCUCCCAGACACUGGA